This 4292-nucleotide unclassified non-coding RNA is filed under the name Amphibalanus amphitrite. Its description in RNAcentral is "s-adenosylmethionine synthase-like, transcript variant X1". The record is from RNAcentral. Lineage: Eukaryota; Metazoa; Arthropoda; Thecostraca; Balanomorpha; Balanidae.
ACACCGGCGACGCGGCCUCUUUUCCAAAACGUGGGAGAGGGGGAAGGUCAUGCCGGAGCCUAGCGAAGUUAUUCCAACAAACGGCGUCACGAACGGGGUGGCGCGGUUCCAGGGCAUGGAAUCGGACGGCCUGGAGCCCGAAGAGACGUUCCUGUUCACAUCGGAGUCGGUCGGAGAGGGACAUGCUGACAAGAUCUGCGACCAAGUGAGCGAUGCCAUUCUGGACGCCUAUCUGCGGCUGGACCCGGACGCCAAGGUGGCCUGCGAAACUACCACCAAGACGGGCAUGAUCCUGGUGUGCGGUGAAAUCACAUCAAAAGCCACAGUCGACUACCAGAAGAUUGUCCGGGAUACCAUCAAAGGCAUCGGAUAUGACGACUGCAAAAAAGGAUUUGACCACAAGACGCUGAACCUGAUGAUCGCGCUGGAGCAGCAGUCGCCAGAUAUUGCUGCCGGCGUGCACGAAAACCGCGCUGAGGAAGACAUCGGCGCGGGCGAUCAGGGCCUGAUGUUCGGCUACGCCACAGACGAAACUGAGGAGUGUAUGCCCCUCACCGUGGUCCUGGCACACGCGCUCAACAGGCGCAUCUCUGACCUCAGGAAGCAGGGCUCCCUGUGGUGGGCGAGACCAGACAGCAAAACUCAGGUGACCAUCGAGUACGCCUCCGACCACGGCGCCAUGGUGCCCAAGACCGUACACAGCGUCGUGGUAUCGGUACAGCACUCACCCGACAUCUCGCUGGAGAAACUGCGGCAGGAGGUGAUGGAAAAGGUCAUCAAAGAAGUCAUCCCUGCCAAGUACCUCACACCGGAGACGGUCUACCACGUGAACCCGUGCGGCGAAUUCAUCAUCGGCGGCCCCCAGUCGGAUGCCGGCCUGACGGGAAGGAAGAUCAUCGUGGACACAUACGGAGGGUGGGGAGCGCACGGCGGCGGCGCCUUCAGCGGUAAGGACUACACCAAGGUGGACCGCUCGGCGGCCUACGCGGCCCGCUGGGUGGCCAAGUCGCUGGUCCGGGCCGGCCUCUGCCGCCGCUGUCUGGUCCAGGUAUCCUACGCCAUCGGUGUGGCGGAGCCCAUCUCCAUCACCGUGUUCCACUAUGGCACCAGCAAGUACAGCCAGAGGCAGCUGCUGGAUAUAGUGAAGAAGAACUUCGACCUGAGGCCCGGCAGAAUCGUCAGGGAGCUGAACCUGCGUCAGCCCAUCUACCAGCAGACGGCGAGCUACGGCCACUUCGGUCGCGACUGCUUCCCCUGGGAACAGCCCAAGAAACUCGUACUCUAGACGCGCCACCGAGUCUGUCAUCACUCGGUGAACUGAGUUUGACUCUGAGUCGGCCCGGAGUCGGCGCUGGGGUCGACGUCGGGUUGAUUCAUGAGUCAGCGUAGAGUCUACUCUGGGUUGACUCGGAGUCAUCCCGAGUGUACCAUCGAGCAGCUAUUGACACCACAACACCGUCAGCGUUCACUCUCUGACUUUACCACUCGACUCGUGUGCACACACCAUGUGAACAUCGCCCUGGGGUAGACCGACCGUCCGCCGCGGCCGCCCCCUCUCCCACCCUUCCCAGACUGGGGGCGGAGCAGAGUCCCCACGGGCCGCCCUUGGCCCGCCACGGCGGCCCGGCCGCCUCCCUGACUGCCCCGCCCCGGUCUUCCCCAGCUGUGAUUUUACUCUGUUAUUUAUAUCAUUGUUGUCUUUUUAGUUGUCUUUCGGGUCGCUCUCAGACCCCCUCACUCUCUCGAGUCUCUCUCUCUCUCUGGGACUUUUAUCAGGGAUGCGGUUAGUGCGGGGAGAGGAGGAGGAGGAAGGGAGGAGCAGGUGAGAGUCGGAGGAGCAGGAGCGAGCGAGUGCGCUCAGAACGAGGGGCCGCGAGGUCCACAAGAGGGGCCGCGAGGUCUAAAAGAGGGACUGUCCAGUCCAAAAGAGGGGCCGGUGCGUCAAAGGACCGCCGUGUCUAAAGUUGGGGCCGCUGGGUCCAAAGGUGGGGCUGUCGUGCCCAAAGGUGGGGCUGUCGUGCCCAAAGUGGGGCUGUCGUGCCCAAAGGUGGGGCUGUGUGCCCAAAGUGGAGGCCGGCGCGUGAGAGGCACCGUCGAGCCAAAGUGGGACCGCCUGGGGUCCAAUGUGGGGCCGGCGCGUUGGAAGGACCGCCGAGCCAAUGUGGGGCCGGCGAGUUGGUGAUACCGCCGAGCCAAUGUGGGGCUGUCGAGCCCAGAGUCGGGACAUCGGAGUCCAUUCGGAGGCAGAGUUGCCUGUGGGACGCCGGGGGUCCACUGGGGGCCGCCCGGGUCCCUGACCGGGGGCCCACUGGGGCCGCCCGGUGUGUGAGUGUUUGUGGCGCCGGCGGCUGGCCCGUGUCGAGGACCGCCGCCGGUGCCGCCAGCAGCAGCAGCAGCACGCAGCAGCAGCAGCAGAGGGCGCGGGGACGGGCGGGUUGCCCUCCCGCGCCCUGCCCGGCUGCCGCGGGACGCCCCCGCGGCGGGGCGGCCGGCCGGCCGGCGGGAGCGCGCGGCGGAGGGCCUCCGCGCGCCCGCUGGCGGCCGGUCUAACGGCGACGGGACGCUUCAGGGCGGUCCGUCGCUUCUCGUCCGGCCGGCCAUUGUGACGGGGCGUCACGGAGUGACACAACACCUCACGGUGAGGACCCGUCACGGACCCGGACUGGAAACGUCACGGAGAGACUCGGACUGGGAGCGUCACGGAUGGUGGCGCGUCACGAGUGUGGCGUGUCGCGGGGUGACGGUGUGUCUCGCCGUGACGGUGUGUCACGAUGUGUUGUCUCUGGCGCGGUGACUGGCCGGCCGGGUACGGCAGUCGGACGGCGCUCGGUGUGACUCGGCGGUGAACACGCGGACGCUGAGACCCGCUACUGUCGAGCGCGCCGCCGCGGCCGGGGCUCUCCCGGGCCCCCGGGGUCCGCUGUGGGCCCCGGGGAGCUCGGGGGAUCCCCGGCCGCUGCGCCGCCCGGCUGACCGGUAGGGCGACCAAAACAGGAUCUCGGCACGAAAAUUUACAAAAAAAAAAAAUGUUGAGUUAGGUUAGUCUUUCUCUUGAAUCUUUCUCUUCCCUGUCCUAUCCUUCGCUGGCUGCUUUCUUGUUCCCACUCAUCUCAAUUUCUCUCUUCUCUCUGUUAUUUGAGUUAUUCCCCAGCCAGCGUUUCCCGGGGCGGCUUUCCCGUACCACCCGGGACCCCGCGGCGGGCGGUCGGUCUCUCCAAUGUACCGCGUCACCCCGUUUGUACGUCACUCACCCGGACAGCGAAGACCGCUCCGCAGCCAUCACAGGGUCCCCACCCUGCACCCCACGCCGCGCCCUGUCCCGGCGGCCGCCACUCGCCGCCCCGGUGGCGUGUCGCCCGCGGCGGCCGGCGCGCCGGCAAUUAUGGCGCCCCCGCGCUCUUUCUGGCGCCAUUUGUUGCCGGCGCUGCGGGCGGCUGGAUGAUUCUCGGGGUUUCCCGGGCUGAGCACGGGGUACCAGAGGGAAUCUUGGGGUAUUCUUGGGUUGAUCUCGGGUAAUCCCAGGCUGCUUUUGGAUGAGUUGGGUUAAUUCAAGGCUGCUCUAGGGCUGCCUCGGAUUAACUCAAGUUGUUCUUGGGCAAUCUCGGCUUAUCUGAGAUCCAUCUCGGGGUAUUCUAGGGUUUUUCUCGGGUCGCCCCAAGGUCAUCUCGGGUUAUCCCCGGGUCGGCCCCAGCCGCCCCCCAGGCCGCCGCCGGUGGCUCGGUACCGGUACGACAGACCGCUCGGCGUGAGUUGUGUUGUGUUUAAGAAAACUAUUGGAAAAGAGCACUUUCCCUAAACACUCCGAUGGCUUCGGACCGGUCGGCAGAUCCGGACAGAGGAGACUUGGAGAGGUCAGCCGCUGGAGACCGCCGCAAAAUCACCGAGAGAUGGGGAGAAAACCGGUAGAAAAUCUCAGUCUGGGGCCGUAAAUAUCUAGCUUGGUGACUUUUCUGGAGAAAUUGACGGAAAAUCGCCGAGCUCCCCGACAAACCGGUGUAAAAUCCCAAAACUGGUGGCUUUUCGAUCAACUCGCCACGAGACUUUCCCCUCAGCUCGGAUGGCGGUUCUCCCUCGGUGUUAUACCAUCGACCCCUCCCGUCUUCACCGUCCGAAAUCUACCGUAUUCGCUGUCACAUUUAUACACUGGUUUGGUUUUAUUUGUCACUGGGAAUCACAUGGCCUAUCGGGAGCUGUGGUUCCGCCGUCGGUCACCGCCGAAAUGGUGGCGCUAGUGUGCCAGUUUUGUUUCAUGUCUCGGACCAAGCGAAAAUACACAUUGUUUCUCCCCUGGU